This 253-nucleotide ribosomal RNA is filed under the name uncultured bacterium. Its description in RNAcentral is "partial 16S ribosomal RNA". It matches the Rfam family "Bacterial small subunit ribosomal RNA", at positions 524 to 776 of the family's 1533-position model. The record is from RNAcentral.
UACAGAGGGUGCGAGCGUUGUCCGGAAUCACUGGGCGUAAAGGGCGCGUAGGCGGCGUGGUAAGUCAGAUGUGAAAGCCCUGGGCUUAACCCAGGAAGUGCAUUUGAAACUGCCAUGCUUGAGUAUGGGAGAGGAGAGUGGAAUUCCCAGUGUAGAGGUGAAAUUCGUAGAUAUUGGGAGGAACACCCGUGGCGAAGGCGACUCUCUGGACCAAUACUGACGCUGAGGCGCGAAAGCGUGGGGAGCAAACAGG